GGUCAGGACCAGGGGCUUUUGCCGAGCGGGGGAUGCUCCAAGGCUCAGCAGCAUGUGUCUGUGCUGUAGGGGGGACGAAGCCAUCCAAGUGAACCCCGAAGGGCCAAGACAGCAACACCCUUCAGAUGUCACCGCACGGCAGAGAUAAACGUAUUGAGAAUAUGCAAAACCUAAGGAAACAGAAGAGGAAAUUUAGUAAACGGUUUACAAGACCUGCUCCUAUUCCAGAACCAGGACUCCUAUGGUCAUAAAGCUGGAAUCUGUACAGAAGAAAUCAUGCCAGACCAUAACAUGCAGAUUUAUAACAUCAAGUGGCAUCUCAUAAUUUGACUUCAUUUGAAAAAUAAAGGCAAUACUCUGUCAUUUCAGCAAAAUAAAUGCAGUGCAACCAUGUAACAUCCAAA
Acinonyx jubatus (cheetah) is the source of this 404-nucleotide long non-coding RNA. RefSeq lists it as uncharacterized. Lineage: Eukaryota; Metazoa; Chordata; Mammalia; Carnivora; Felidae. The record is from RefSeq and is a predicted model, not a curated record. The transcript is spliced from 4 exons.